Molecule: ribosomal RNA, 495 nt
Filed under: uncultured bacterium
Lineage: Bacteria
Description: partial 16S ribosomal RNA
Rfam family: Bacterial small subunit ribosomal RNA
Source: RNAcentral
GACGAACGCUGGCGGCGUGCCUAAUACAUGCAAGUAGAACGCUGAAGGAGGAGCUUGCUUCUCUGGAUGAGUUGCGAACGGGUGAGUAACGCGUAGGUAACCUGCCUGGUAGCGGGGGAUAACUAUUGGAAACGAUAGCUAAUACCGCGUAAUAGUAGCUGUUGCAUGACAUUUGCUUGAAAGGUGCAAUUGCAUCACUACCAGAUGGACCUGCGUUGUAUUAGCUAGUUGGUGGGGUAACGGCUCACCAAGGCGACGAUACAGAGCCGAACGGAGAGGGUGAGCGGCCACACUGGGACUGAGACACGGCCCAGACUCCUACGGGAGGCAGCAGUAGGGAAUCGGCGGCAAUGGGCGGAAGUCUGACCGAGCAACGCCGCGUGAGGGAAGAAGGUUUUCGGAUCGGAAAGCUCGGUUGUAAGGGAAGAACGAGUGUGAGAGUGGAAAGUUCACACUGUGACGGUAACUUACCAGAAAGGGACGGCUAACUACGUG